ACACACAGACACACAGACUGCAUGAACUAGUAUCCUACAUCAGGGUUAUGUAUGUAACACACAUAUCUGCAUACAGAGUUAUAUCUGAAUUGUACUACACAGUCCCUGUGUUUAAACUGGCUGUGUUACACAGCUCAACCCAGCACCAAAUGCACAACUGAACUUAAAAUGUACAUUGGAAUUCUUCAUGUGCAUCCAUGCACAAUUAACAUUUUCACAUAUAAUGGAAUCACAUACGCCACUCUACUUUGUCCAGGGUGCACUUGUUCCCCAUUAGAGAAAAAUGCCCAACUGCUUCUCUAGGGAAACAGGUGCUUCUUGUAUGUUAUCUAGGAGUUAUGAGCCAACUGCCACCUGAAAUUAUGGCUUAGAAUGGCAAAUGAUUACUUAAGAUACUAGGAAAGACUAUGAAAUUGUUAGGUAUCACAACUUUCGAACUGUAUUGUCUAGGGAUGCAUCUAUAAUGUUGAAUUAAUAGAGUUUGGUAGCACUUUGACUGUCUUAGCUCAAUGGUGUAGAAUCAUAUAAUUGUAGUUUUAUAAUCUCUUUAGCCUUCUCCACCAAAGAGUUUUGGUGCUUCACCAAAUUAUAAAUCUCAUUAAUCCUUAACAUUGAGCCAUGGUAGUUGAAGAGGUGUCAAAGUGCAUUAAUUCUACAAUGUAGAUGCAUCCCUGGUUCCAACUUAAGACUUGUAGUAAUGGGAAAAACUGUAAAAGUGUCCUCUUCAUGAACAAUCUGCCACCAUCAGCACAAGUUCAUUUUAACACAGCCUACUUUCUUUCAGUACUGGAAAUUUCUGUUACAGAGCAAAAGAAGAGAAAGAUGUGAGAUACAGCUCUUCUAAAUUUUACUGAUUGCCCUCGAGUUCCCUUGAUGUCACAGCCUGAAGGAGAAGUUUCUGAUGGUGGGAAGAAUGCCAGCUGGUGGUUGGACAGUUUAGAGACACCGUCCAUUGUAGAGACAUCCCUUUGGAGAACACAAUCCAGUGGGAAAUGGUGAUGUGGAUAUGCUGAUGAAUCCCUGAUUAACUCAAGUGUCCAGUUCUGUGUGAAACAAAGGUUGCAAGACCCAAGAGACAAAGGUAAUGAUUCCAGACAAUCAAGAUCUUGGCUGCUCCUAUAGAGAGUUAAUGAAUAGAGAGUUACCUCACAACCUCUGAGGAUGCCUGCCAUAGAUGUGGGCGAAACGUCAGGAGAGAAUGCUUCUGGAACAUGGCCACACAGCCCGAAAGACAUACAACAACCCAGUUAAUGAAUUCAUAUUUGCUGAAUCUGCUCUUCCAUGGGAGUGGCAGACUCUCAGACUCAAGUUGAAUGAACAAAAAUCCUGAACUCAUCUUGGUGGGAAAGAGGAUCAUCUAUCUUCAUACACACACAAAGAUCUUGAUAUUUAUCUGGUUUGGGAAACAGCCUGACCAUGAUCUCAUUUCCCAAGGAAUUAUGCAAACUGAGGGUAUAGAGAGGUAGCUACCUUCUAGAUACAUUUUGAUACAUUGCAUUUGAUACAGCUUAUACAUUGUAUACUUUUAGGAAUUGACACAGUUCAUAAAAGAUACAAGUUAUACAAAAUCAUCAAAUUAAUAUGGUUUGUUAAAAGGUUAGAUUUGAUAUAGUUUUUAGGGUACAGCUAAUUAUUUAUUUAUUUACAGCAUUUAUAUUCCGCCCUUCUCACCCCGAAGGGGACUCAGGGCGGAUCACAUUACACAUAUAGGCAAACAUUCAAUGCCUUUUAACAUAGAACAAAGACAAACAAACAUAGGCUCCGAGCGGGCCUCGAACUCAUGACCUCCUGGUCAGAGUGAUUCAUUGCAGUGAUUCAUUGCAGCUGCUCUCCAGCCUGCGCCACAGCCUGAGCCCAGGUCCAUUCUGGAACCUCUAGCAGUUUGCAACUUUGAAGCCAUGUAAAAUGUUUUAAUAAUAAAGAACAAAUCAUAUAUACCUCACAACCUCUGAGGAUGCCUGCCAUAGAUGUGGGUGAAACAUCAGGUGAGAAUGCUUCUGGAACAUGGCCAUACAGCCCAGAAAACACACAACAACCCCGCAAAAUCAUACAUUUUGCUCGGAGUCUCUUGGUAAUCUAUACACCUUUGGCAGCGGGGUUGCUGUAGCUUGAUAACAAAAGUAACUGAUGGGAAGUCAUGGAAAAAAGGAGCAAACUUAUCUGCUGUUCCAGGAAUUAGAAUACAAUCUAAUGGAUUCCAAUUAUGAGAGAAGAGAAUCCACCUAAACAUGAGGAAAAGUCUCUCAACUGAAGGAGGUCUUAGAUACUGGAACAGAUUUACUUGAAUGAUGGGUUGACACUCACUAUUUUGAAGUAUUGCAAUAGAGACUGGAUAGGCAUCUUUUAGGAGUGUGUUAAUUGUGUAUUUCUGCAUGGCAAUGAGUUAGAAUAGAUGGCCCUUUUGGCCCUUCCUCAUUAGCCAUUUUGGUCCUUACUCAUUGGCCAUAUAGGAAAAGUUGACCAAUGGGUUGACUGGAAACUAGGCUUGUGUAUUUUGGGUGAAUUGCUAACGGUUUCUGCUUGGGCAUUUUCAUUUUACAUCCUAAAAAACAGUUCUUUCCGGCCCAUUGGUGGCAAUGGGGAACUUAUGAGCCUUCUCUUUCCCUUGGGAGCCUUUCCUUUCUUCCCUUCAGCAAUGGGUUAAAAAAGCAUCCUAUCCAGCCCAUUAUUGGGGGGGGGGGGGGUUCCCAUAGGCUCCCCUUCCAUAUCCUUCAUUAAGACCUGGAUUUUAAAAUGCAUCAGAGUUCCCACUCUUAAGUUUCUGGAUCCUUUCCCUGUAGAGGAGGAGACCAGGUUUAAUGCUUCUUAAAGCUGUUCUACUUUAGAGGAGAGGCAGGCGUGCAUGCUUUCUUCUCUCCCAGCACCAGCAGCAUGCCAUGCAGCUUUCCAAGAUAUUUUAAAGAACCCUGGUGGCGCAGUGUGUUAAAGCGCUGAGCUGCUGAACUUGCAGACCAAAAGGUCACAGGUUCGAAUCCAGGGAGCGGAGUGAGCACACACUGUUAGCUCCAGCUUCUGCCAACCUAGCAGUUCGAAAACAUGCAAAUGUGAGCUGAUCAAUAGGUAUCGCUCCAGCGGGAAGGUAACGGCACUCCAUGCAGUCAUGCCGGCCACAUGACCUUGGAGGUGUCUACGGACAAUGCCAGCUCUUUAGCUUAGAAAUGGAGAUGAACACCAACCCCCAGAGUCAGACACGACUAGACUUAACGUCAGGGGAAAUCUUUACCUUUACCAAAGGAAAAAAGAAUUAUGACCUGGAGCUCAGUGGAGCUACCUUAAAAAUCCCCUCUCUUGCCUGCAAGGCUGCAAUCUCUUUUCUGCUAGGGGUUUUGCUUCCUUAAAGCAGUUUCUACUUUGUAUUCUAGAGGAAAAGUAGGCUUCUAUUUUUUUUUUUGCUGGGAUUACUAUUAUUAAUAAUAUUGUUUUAGAAGUAUUUCCUGAAGGAGAGGAAGCAGAGAAGAAAAAGAAGGUAAACGGAUGACUCUCUAUCUCCAAGCCCCCAAACACAUGUGCUGCACUCCACCCGCUGUCCCCCAGGUCCCCAACUCCCAAUGAGUCCCACUAAAUAAAAAGAAUCAGGAAAAUAAAGGAAAAUCUAAAAGAUUAAACUGUGAUGCCCAAUGAGGGAGGAGGAGCCAAGAUUGGCUCCCACUUGCUUUCGUGUUGGGUGGGUUUUUGUACCAAAAGGACCCUUACCAUUACGGGCUUCUGGAGGUACCAAAAGUACCGAAGGAAACGGAAUCAGCGCACAGGUCUCCCAGAAACCACUAAGCUUCAGAAUGCUAUGACCAUCUGAUUUUGCUGUGUGUUUCUGAUUUUACAAUGUAUUUCCUUUUUGCUUGUCUACACUGUUUUCAGUUGAUGUUCAAGUCCUUCCAAUUAGUGACGUGGUGCCCUGGACCAGUCCUGGAUUCUCAUGACCAUGUGGAUGAACCCAGUAUCUGCAGUUCAUGUUUCAGAUUGUUUCUUUGUUACCUCUUUAGUGAAUAUGAUUUCUGGGUGAAGAACUUCUCCCACACAACUCCACCAUCCUAUCUGGUUAAAACAUCUUUCAAUACAGCUCACAUUGACCUCCCUUGCCAUCACAUUGCUGUAAUAUAAUUAAAACCAUUGGCCUGUAAUUUA
This is a long non-coding RNA of Anolis carolinensis (green anole), 4122 nucleotides long. RefSeq lists it as uncharacterized. The transcript is spliced from 2 exons. Lineage: Eukaryota; Metazoa; Chordata; Lepidosauria; Squamata; Anolidae. The record is from RefSeq and is a predicted model, not a curated record.